This 201-nucleotide transfer-messenger RNA is filed under the name Rhodoferax sp. Its description in RNAcentral is "partial transfer-messenger RNA". It matches the Rfam family "transfer-messenger RNA", at positions 1 to 224 of the family's 374-position model. Rfam says of the family: Bacterial tmRNA, also known as 10Sa RNA or SsrA, is named for its dual tRNA and mRNA-like properties. Its role is to liberate the mRNA from a stalled ribosome. The record is from RNAcentral. Lineage: Bacteria; Pseudomonadati; Pseudomonadota; Betaproteobacteria; Burkholderiales; Comamonadaceae.
GGGGCUGCACUGGUUUCGACGUGGGUUCGGACGCGGUGUGGUGCAUGUCGAGCUGAAUGCGCUCGUAAAACUGAUUCAAACAAACUAACUGCAAACGACGAACGUUUCGCACUCGCUGCUUAAUUGCCAGUGAGCUUUACAACAGCAGGCCGAUGGGCUGGGCAAGGGGUGUUUAGCGCAAGUUAAAUGCUCCCGGCUGUA